RNAcentral lists this ribosomal RNA (481 nucleotides) under uncultured bacterium. Its description in RNAcentral is "partial 16S ribosomal RNA". It matches the Rfam family "Bacterial small subunit ribosomal RNA", at positions 28 to 507 of the family's 1533-position model. The record is from RNAcentral.
GACGAACGUUGGCGGCGUGCUUAAUACAUGCAAGUCAACUGAAGCAGUGGUAGCAAUAUCGCUGUGGAGGUGGCGCACGGGUGAGUAACACGUAGGUAAUCUGCCUUCAGGUCUGGCAUAACUCCGGGAAACCGGGGCUAAUAGCAGAUGAUGCAGCGGCUCGACAUCGAGACAGUUGUUAAAGCUAUGGCGCCUGAAGAUGAGCCUGCGUCUGAUUAGCUAGUUGGCGGGGUAACGGCCCACCAAGGCAACGAUCAGGAGCUGGUCUGAGAGGAUGAUCAGCCACACUGGAACUGAGACACGGUCCAGACUCCGACGGGAGGCAGCAGUAAGGAAUAUUGCUCAAUGGGAGAAAUCCUGAAGCAGCAACGCCGCGUGAGGGACGAAGGGCUUUGGCUUGUAAACCUCUGUAGUGAGAGAAAAAAAUCCCAAUCUUUGGGACAUGAUGGUAUCUCAAAAGUAAGCCCCGGCUAACUACGUG